RNAcentral lists this ribosomal RNA (495 nucleotides) under uncultured bacterium. RNAcentral's name for it is "partial 16S ribosomal RNA". It matches the Rfam family "Bacterial small subunit ribosomal RNA", at positions 28 to 507 of the family's 1533-position model. The record is from RNAcentral.
GAUGAACGCUGGCGGCGUGCCUAAUACAUGCAAGUCGAGCGAACAGACGAGGAGCUUGCUCCUCUGACGUUAGCGGCGGACGGGUGAGUAACACGUGGAUAACCUACCUAUAAGACUGGGAUAACUUCGGGAAACCGGAGCUAAUACCGGAUAAUAUAUUGAACCGCAUGGUUCAAUAGUGAAAGACGGUUUUGCUGUCACUUAUAGAUGGAUCCGCGCCGCAUUAGCUAGUUGGUAAGGUAACGGCUUACCAAGGCAACGAUGCGUAGCCGACCUGAGGGUGAUCGGCCACACUGGAACUGAGACACGGCCCAGACUCCUACGGGAGGCAGCAGUAGGGAAUCUUCCGCAAUGGGCGAAAGCUUGACGGAGCAACGCCGCGUGAGUGAUGAAGGUCUUCGGAUCGUAAAACUCUGUUAUUAGGGAAGAACAAAUGUGUAAGUAACUAUGCACGUCUUGACGGUACCUAAUCAGAAAGCCACGGCUAACUACGUG